RNAcentral lists this ribosomal RNA (833 nucleotides) under uncultured bacterium. Its description in RNAcentral is "bacterial SSU rRNA". It matches the Rfam family "Bacterial small subunit ribosomal RNA", at positions 60 to 902 of the family's 1533-position model. The record is from RNAcentral.
AGUCGAACGGACUUAACCAUUAGUUUACUAUUGGAGCGGUUAGUGGCGGACUGGUGAGUAACACGUAAGCAACCUGCCUAUCAGAGGGGAACAACAGUUAGAAAUGACUGCUAAUACCGCAUAUACCCAAGUGUCACAUGGCACAAUGGGGAAAGGAGCAAUCCGCUGAUAGAUGGGCUUGCGUCUGAUUAGCUAGUUGGUGGGGUAACGGCCUACCAAGGCGACGAUCAGUAGCCGGACUGAGAGGUUGAACGGCCACAUUGGGACUGAGAUACGGCCCAGACUCCUACGGGAGGCAGCAGUCGGGAAUAUUGCGCAAUGGAGGAAACUCUGACGCAGUGACGCCGCGUGCAGGAAGAAGGUUUUCGGAUUGUAAACUGCUUUAGACAGGGAAGAAACAAGACAGUACCUGUAGAAUAAGCUCCGGCUAACUACGUGCCAGCAGCCGCGGUAAUACGUAGGGAGCGAGCGUUAUCCGGAUUUAUUGGGUGUAAAGGGUGCGUAGACGGGAAAAUAAGUUAGUUGUGAAAGCCCUCGGCUUAACUGAGGAACUGCAACUAAAACUGUUUUUCUUGAGUACUGGAGAGGAAAGUGGAAUUCCUAGUGUAGCGGUGAAAUGCGUAGAUAUUAGGAGGAACACCAGUGGCGAAGGCGACUUUCUGGACAGAAACUGACGUUGAGGCACGAAAGUGUGGGGAGCAAACAGGAUUAGAUACCCUGGUAGUCCACACCGUAAACGAUGGAUACUAGGUGUAGGGGAUAAUAAAUUCUCUGUGCCGCCGCUAACGCAAUAAGUAUCCCACCUGGGGAGUACGGCCGCAAGGUUGAAACUC